This 164-nucleotide ribosomal RNA is filed under the name Cardamine x insueta. RNAcentral's name for it is "5.8S ribosomal RNA". It matches the Rfam family "5.8S ribosomal RNA". From Rfam's summary of the family: 5.8S ribosomal RNA (5.8S rRNA) is a component of the large subunit of the eukaryotic ribosome. It is transcribed by RNA polymerase I as part of the 45S precursor that also contains 18S and 28S rRNA. The record is from RNAcentral. Lineage: Eukaryota; Viridiplantae; Streptophyta; Magnoliopsida; Brassicales; Brassicaceae.
AAAACGACUCUCGGCAACGGAUAUCUCGGCUCUCGCAUCGAUGAAGAACGUAGCGAAAUGCGAUACUUGGUGUGAAUUGCAGAAUCCCGUGAACCAUCGAGUCUUUGGACGCAAGUUGCGCCCCAAGCCUUCUGGCCGAGGGCACGUCUGCCUGGGUGUCACAA